This 400-nucleotide ribosomal RNA is filed under the name uncultured Solirubrobacter sp. Its description in RNAcentral is "bacterial SSU rRNA". It matches the Rfam family "Bacterial small subunit ribosomal RNA", at positions 975 to 1376 of the family's 1533-position model. Lineage: Bacteria; Bacillati; Actinomycetota; Thermoleophilia; Solirubrobacterales; Solirubrobacteraceae. The record is from RNAcentral.
CUGGGCUUGACAUGUACCUGACCGGCCUGGAAACAGGUCCUCCCUUCGGGGCAGGUUCACAGGUGGUGCAUGGCUGUCGUCAGCUCGUGUCGUGAGAUGUUGGGUUAAGUCCCGCAACGAGCGCAACCCCCGUCGCAUGUUGCCAGCAUUUAGUUGGGGACUCAUGCGAGACUGCCGGUGACAAACCGGAGGAAGGUGGGGAUGACGUCAAGUCAUCAUGCCCCUUAUGUCCAGGGCUACACACGUGCUACAUUGGCGUCUACAAAGGGCUGCGAUACCGCGAGGUGGAGCGAAUCCCAUAAAGGACGUCUCGGUUCGGAUUGCAGGCUGAAACCCGCCUGCAUGAAGGUGGAGUUGCUAGUAAUCAUGGAUCAGCAUUGCCAUGGUGAAUACGUUCCCG